UGGGGAAUAUUGCACAAUGGGCGCAAGCCUGAUGCAGCCAUGCCGCGUGUAUGAAGAAGGCCUUCGGGUUGUAAAGUACUUUCAGCGGGGAGGAAGUGAGUAAAGUUAAUACCUUUACUCAUUGACGUUACCCGCAGAAGAAGCACCGGCUAACUCCGUGCCAGCAGCCGCGGUAAUACGGAGGGUGCAAGCAUUAAUCGGAAUUACUGGGCGUAAAGCGCACGCAGGCGGUUUGUUAAGUCAGAUGUGAAAUCCCCGGGCUCAACCUGGGAACUGCAUCUGAUACUGGCAAGCUUGAGUCUCGUAGAGGGGGGUAGAAUUCCAGGUGUAGCGGUGAAAUGCGUAGAGAUCUGGAGGAAUACCGGUGGCGAAGGCGGCCCCCUGGACGAAGACUGACGCUCAGGUGCGAAAGCGUGGGGAGCAAACAGG
RNAcentral lists this ribosomal RNA (429 nucleotides) under Chloroflexota bacterium. RNAcentral describes it as "Chloroflexi bacterium partial 16S ribosomal RNA". It matches the Rfam family "Bacterial small subunit ribosomal RNA", at positions 355 to 776 of the family's 1533-position model. Lineage: Bacteria; Bacillati; Chloroflexota. The record is from RNAcentral.